This 261-nucleotide ribosomal RNA is filed under the name uncultured bacterium. RNAcentral's name for it is "partial 16S ribosomal RNA". It matches the Rfam family "Bacterial small subunit ribosomal RNA", at positions 513 to 773 of the family's 1533-position model. The record is from RNAcentral.
AGCCGCGGUAAGACGGAAGGGGCUAGGGUUGUUCGGAAUUACUGGGCGUAAAGCGCGCGUAGGCGGCUUGGCAAGUGCGGCGUGAAAGUCCUGGGCUCAACCCGGGGACGGCGCUGCGGACUGCUCGGCUGGAGUCCGGAAGAGGGUGGUGGAAUUCCGAGUGUAGAGGUGAAAUUCGUAGAUAUUCGGAGGAACACCGGUGGCGAAGGCGGCCACCUGGUCCGGAACUGACGCUCAAGUGCGAAAGCGUGGGGAGCAAAC